UCUGGUAGUUAUGGCGAGAAGGUCACACCCGUUCCCAUCCCGAACACGGUAGUUAAGCUUCUCUGCCACAAAGGGAGUUGGGGUCUACCCCAUG
RNAcentral lists this ribosomal RNA (94 nucleotides) under Listeria monocytogenes. The record is from RNAcentral. Lineage: Bacteria; Bacillati; Bacillota; Bacilli; Caryophanales; Listeriaceae.